Molecule: ribosomal RNA, 468 nt
Filed under: uncultured bacterium
Lineage: Bacteria
Description: partial 16S ribosomal RNA
Rfam family: Bacterial small subunit ribosomal RNA
Source: RNAcentral
GACGAACGCUGGCGGCGUGCUUAACACAUGCAAGUCGAACGGAAAGGCCCUGCUUUUGUGGGGUGCUCGAGUGGCGAACGGGUGAGUAACACGUGAGUAACCUGCCCUUGACUUUGGGAUAACUUCAGGAAACUGGGGCUAAUACCGGAUAGGAGCUCCUGCUGCAUGGUGGGGGUUGGAAAGUUUCGGCGGUUGGGGAUGGACUCGCGGCUUAUCAGCUUGUUGGUGGGGUAGUGGCUUACCAAGGCUUUGACGGGUAGCCGGCCUGAGAGGGUGACCGGGAAAAUGGGGACGGAGGGAGGGCCCAGCCGGCAACGGGAGGCAGCGGGGGGGAGUAUUGCACAGGGGCCGGGAGCGAGUGGCGACAGGGCGGCGGGGGGGAAGCGGGCUUUGGGGUGAUAAACAGCUUUGGCCGGUGAAGAAGCGUGAGUGACGGUAAUGUAAAAGGAAGCACCGGCUAACUACGUG